Brachypodium distachyon (stiff brome) is the source of this 135-nucleotide non-coding RNA. The record is from Rfam. Lineage: Eukaryota; Viridiplantae; Streptophyta; Magnoliopsida; Poales; Poaceae.
UUUUUACUCCCUCCGUCCAACAAAAGAUGUCUCAAGUUUGUCAAAAUUUGGAUGUAUCUAAACAUGACUUAGUGUAUAGAUGCAUUCAAAUUUAGUCAAAGUUGAGACAUUCUUUUUUGGACGGAGGAGUAUCAU